GAUGAACGCUGGCGGUAUGCCUAACACAUGCAAGUCGAACGCUCUUUUCGGAGAGAGUGGCGGACGGGUGAGUAACGCGUGAGAAUCUGCCUUCAGGAUGGGGACAACAGUGGGAAACUACUGCUAAUACCCAAUAUGCCGAAAGGUGAAAGUAUUUCGCCUGAAGAGGAGCUCGCGUCCGAUUAGCUAGUUGGUGGGGUAAGAGCCUACCAAGGCAGCGAUCGGUAGCUGGUCUGAGAGGAUGAGCAGCCACACUGGGACUGAGACACGGCCCAGACUCCUACGGGAGGCAGCAGUGGGGAAUUUUCCGCAAUGGGCGAAAGCCUGACGGAGCAAUACCGCGUGAGGGAGAAGGCUUUGGGUGUAAACCUCUUUUCUCAAGGAGAAGCAAGUGACGGUACUUGAGGAAUCAGCAUCGGCU
This 421-nucleotide ribosomal RNA is filed under the name uncultured bacterium. Its description in RNAcentral is "bacterial SSU rRNA". It matches the Rfam family "Bacterial small subunit ribosomal RNA", at positions 28 to 498 of the family's 1533-position model. The record is from RNAcentral.